Myripristis murdjan (pinecone soldierfish) is the source of this 387-nucleotide long non-coding RNA. RefSeq lists it as uncharacterized. The record is from RefSeq and is a predicted model, not a curated record. The transcript is spliced from 2 exons. Lineage: Eukaryota; Metazoa; Chordata; Actinopteri; Holocentriformes; Holocentridae.
AUUAAGUAACUGCCAUAAAAAGAGAUUGAUAUUCAUUUAAAGUCAACUAAUGACAGUCAUUCUCCUUACCUUCAUCUUCUCUUUUGUGAAUGACAUAGAUUUAAUAAGGGAAAGCAAUAAGGAUACUGUUUUUUAUCUGGAUUUACAUCACUGUACUACUUGAAUUACAGCAGUUUACAGUUGCUGAAAAACAGCACUUACAGUUACAGCAGUCGGUGCCACACGUUCCUAGUUAAAUUGGAUUUUUAUGAUUAAUACUACUAGCAUUGUUGCACAGAAAAAAAGCCAUGAUUGUAAGAAUUUUAGCUGAAGGAGUAAUUAUGAAUGGGUGUGUUUGUAAUUCACUUCUCUUAUUUUUAUACAAAUAAAGAUCUCUUUUGAGACUGA